AACGAACGCUGGCGGCAGGCUUAGCACAUGCAAGUCGAACGCCCCCGCAAGGGGGAGUGGCAGACGGGUGAGUAACACGUGGGAACAUGCCCUUCGGUUCGGAACAACGUCUGGAAACGGACGCUAAUACCGGAUACGCCCUUUUGGGGAAAGGCGCGCUGUCGAAGGAUGGGCCCGCGUUCGAUUAGCUUGAUGGUGCGGGUAACGGCCCACCAUGGCGACGAUCGAUCGCUGGUCUGCGAGGAUGGCCAGCGACAUUGGGACUGAGACACGGCCCAAACUCCGGCGGGAGGCAGCAGUGGGGAAUAUUGGACGAUGGGCGCAAGCCUGGUACCGCCAUGCCGCUGGAGUGAAGGCGGCCUGAGGGUUGUAAAGCUCUUUCGCACGCGACGAUAAUGACGGUAGCGGGAGAAGAAGCCCCGGCUAACUUCGUGCCAGCCGCCGCCGUAA
This 450-nucleotide ribosomal RNA is filed under the name uncultured bacterium. RNAcentral describes it as "partial 16S ribosomal RNA". It matches the Rfam family "Bacterial small subunit ribosomal RNA", at positions 28 to 523 of the family's 1533-position model. The record is from RNAcentral.